RNAcentral lists this transfer RNA (73 nucleotides) under Capra hircus (goat). It matches the Rfam family "tRNA". Rfam says of the family: Transfer RNA (tRNA) molecules are approximately 80 nucleotides in length. Their secondary structure includes four short double-helical elements and three loops (D, anti-codon, and T loops). RNAcentral also lists the same sequence under 1 other name. Lineage: Eukaryota; Metazoa; Chordata; Mammalia; Artiodactyla; Bovidae. The record is from Rfam by way of RNAcentral.
UUCCCUGUGGUCCAGUGGUUAGGACUCUGCACUUUCACUGCUGAGGGCCUGAGUUCAAUCCCUAGUUGGGGAA